Molecule: long non-coding RNA, 16138 nt
Filed under: Setaria viridis
Lineage: Eukaryota; Viridiplantae; Streptophyta; Magnoliopsida; Poales; Poaceae
Description: long non-coding RNA (SVIR_LNC002713)
Source: RNAcentral
UUUUUUCAUGUAGGAGUAUACGCCAGCAGAUCAAGUUGUUGCUGAACCCUGUUGGUUAAGCUAGAUCAAAGUCAAUGGCACCACCACACCAAGGCAGCCUUCAAGCUCGUUGCCUCGGCCCGUCGCCAGUAUCCAAGCUCCAGCAUUGUACAUGUCACGAUCGGAUCAUAAUUGUAACUGAUUCGUUCCGGCCUUAUCUUUGGUUCUGACGUUGGUCUAUGGCGUGCGUGCAGCCUUUGCUGACCUUUCAGUUCACUACAAAGAACGUUCAGAGAGUUUCGGUUAACCAAGCACAAGGAAAGAAACACGCUCCUCCGGGUCCUUGGAUUCUCACUUGCUCAACUUGACUGAUCGACCGUCCCGGUCGCUGUCGAAGAACAAGCCAGUCGAGAGUUGCCUGCCAUUUUCCUUGAUAAAAUUCACUCUCACAGAAGCGACAUUACAUACUAUAUUCUCGUGCUCGUCUACUUUUUCUGCGCAGUUCCUGACAAGUGACAAGGAGAGUGCGUGACUGAGGAUGUAGAAGUGUAUAUGUGGAACAAUUGCACGGGCAGUUGGCAUACAAAAGAAAAGGUCAGAUGAAUAAUGGACGCGAGAGUGUAACUUUCUUUGCUCCUACGAAAUCAGCAGGGUGGUUUCUGAUUGAGUUGAUGGCAAGACAUCCCACCUAGCUGGCCUUUAAACUCAGCUUAGUGGCAGCUUCCUGAAUGACCACCGGCUCACGAAAGGAACAGUCCAAUCCGAUUUAACGCGGGGGUGUUCGAGUCCCUCUUCGCCACCAAUUCAUCAGGGAGCUAGCUAGGGCGUCGUCUUUUUUCGUGUGGAUGGAAAGGCACCUAGCUAAGCUACCCCUUCGCUAGACUGUACCGCACGGCGAUCAAGCGAGCUGCGCCUACUGUGUGAGUGUGCACGCAAGUCAACAGGAGCAGCUCUCGAGCAACUCCAAUAGAUUGCAGAAGCUUCCACUGAUUGCAGUUUACCACGUUGACUAACCGCCACGGACGUUAGACAAGGCAAAGCUUCGCGUCUCUUCCCUGUGCAAACGACGCCCAUAAGGAAUGACGACGACCUGAAGUUCUGAAACUGAGAGACGAGGCGGCGGCGCUGCCGAGAUGAAGCACACCGGCCGGCGGCGGCCGGUGCACCACCACCAGCUACGGCAGGUCCACGUCCCAGAGAGAUCGCGGGCUGCAUCCGGGUUGGUCCCCAUGGCAGGGUCAGGGAGCAGGGACAGGGAGGGAGGGCUCCGCUCGCGGUCACGGGCCGUUGGAAAGAGACGGUCAGGAAGAAGGGGGUCCGUGUGUGUGUGCGAGGGAAAGCGACCCGUGCGAGGGAAAGCGUGGUGGACUGGAUGGACGUAUUCCUGCCACUCCCCUCCGUGGCGUCCAUUCUACUCCGGACAGCUUGUCUGAACGGUCCACCCGGUGGGCCCCACGGCCCGAGGAACGGUCUCCGUCUCUUUCCCUCCGUUUUCCUUGGCGCUCCCCCAUCUCACUUUCCUUGGCAUUAUUGUGCAGCAGCUAUAUCACACAUUACAUUACUGGUGUAUCAGAAAUUCAGAGCUCUGCAUCUCAAGAAAAAGAAAAGAAAUUUUAGGAAAAAAAAGGGGGGAACUGAGAGCUACAGCACACGGAGUAGUAUGUGAGAGUGAGAUUGCAGCCAUAGCCCAUGAGUGAUGAGUCCACACCGCGCCGGGCGACUGGUCCAGUAAAGCGUGCCAGGUGGUUGGAGUGGUGGGCAUGGGUCGCGAGCCGCCGGCGCACCACACCUCCCAAGGCGAGAUUGGUCAACUGGACCGUCCAACCACUGUUGGCCGAUGCUGCUAGGUGGAAAUGCGAUUUCCGGCCGGAAAUUAAUGCCUUGUUGACUGACUAAUUCUCUCUCUCCAAAACAAUUCAGUGUUAACUGAAACAUGAGCAAAGAUUUUACAGAUCGCCUUCCUUUGUCUUUUCCAGCUUUCUUCUGAUCUUUAGGACUCCAAAAAUUACAGUUUGUACGUAUUCAGAAUCUUCGUCCCUGUCAGACUGCUAGAUCAGGAUACAUCUAAAAACCGCAAGAAUUCGAUGGAAUUCGCACCAGAAUUGGCCUUAGCUCUACUAUACUUUAACAAGUAAAGCGAGAUCAGGCAAGCGUCGUUUCUCCCCUGGCAAAAAAGAAGGAUCUUUUUGACAGUAACUGAAGGAGAUGGAGAGCGUCAAUGGCGGAAGAACGGCGAGCAUUAGGCACGAGUAGAAACAGCAGAGCACCACGACGAGAAAGAAGCUCAAAGAGUGUGAUUUUAUCUUUCCGUUUCUUCGUGAUCGCUCAGGACUAUGAGCAAAAAUUACAUCACGCAAGGAAGGGGGAGUUAAAAACAACAAGCAUCUCACGCGGUACUAAGAAUUCUCCGGCGUCGCGGCGCGCGGGGGCCUCGCCCGAUCACUGCGACGACGGCGCCGCGGCGGCGGCGGCGGGUGAGGGCGCCAUCCUGGGGGACGUGACGGGGAACAGCGGGAGCAGCCGCGGCGGCUCGGCGCCCCUCGGGGACGGGUGCAAGAAGAAGCCUUUCCGCGCGAUGGCCGCGCGCUCGGCGGCCUCCUCCUCCUCGCCCGGGGACGCGGAUGCCGGCGACCGGUUGAAGGGGUCCGCCACCAGCGGCGUGACGGGGCUCCCGAGCGCCAGGGACGGGAAGUCGAGCACGCUGGGCGACAGCACCUCGGGGCCGACCUUCCGCGGCGACGCCCCCGCGGCCGCGGCCGCCGCCAUCGCCAGCGGCGCGAUCAUCUUGAGGUUGUUCUUGCCGAUCCGGCGCUCGUAGAGCUUGAAGGCCGGCUUCUUGGGUCCUCCGGCGAGGCCGCUAGCGCCGCCGUGGUUGUGGUGGUGGUGGUGGUGGUGGUGGUGGUGGCCCUUGGCGGGCUUAUUCUGUGCUGACGACGGCGUGUCGGAGCCGGUGAGCCUCUGCACGACCUGCUUGAAGUUGGCGGUGUCGGCCUGGACGAACGUGGUGGGGAACGGCGUGGUGUCGAUGAUGCGCGGCACGGGCUUGGGCGACGGGGGCACGGGGUGGUGCUGCUGCUGGCGCGGCGACGGGGAGGCGGCGGAGGAGGGGGAGGAGGAGGAGGUGGACGAGGACGGGGAGUUGGGGGCACGCGCCAUGGGGAGGAGUUGCUUCGCCGCAGCAACUUCCAUUUGCGGACGGGGACUGGGGAGGAAGGGGUCUGGGGAGGCGAGACCGCGAGAGGGGAGUGGGAAUAAGAAGAGGAGGGGGAGUUAGAGGUGAUGUAUAGUUGGCGUGGGCCUGGGUGGACGCUGCUCUGCUCUCUUUCUCUCUCUAGGAUGCAGGCCCUCCUCUUCCCUCUCUCUCAUCACGGAUUUUAUUUGUUUUCCUGCUGGUUUCCAGUUUCAGUUUCUCUCCCAUGACCCGGUGCCCUUUUUAUGCACUACCGAGUUUUUUUUUGCGAGUAGCUUCUUUUGUGCACUAUUCUAUGUGCAGUUUCCUCUGUUUUUCUGGGUGCCGAUGGUAGUUUCGCAGUUUCUCUCUCUAGGUACAGUUUUCCAGUUGACAGGGUGCAGGUACAGCCUCCUAUACUCUACCGUUAUUGCUCCUGCUUUUCGGUAGAGAGAAAUAGUACCCUUUUUUUUUGGCACUGAUCUAUCUUUUCCAGGGAAACUUUCAAAACAAUGACUGGAAACAAAAGCGACCGUGCCAAAUUUAAUUAACUUCUUGAAAUUGAGAGGGGGGGAAAAACCCGCAAGCUUGUUCCGUCACGAGGACAAGGUUGGAAACAGUGGUGUCCACGGAAAGAUGCCUUUGCCGAGAAAAGCAAAGAAAAUGCGGCAGGCAUUGACUUGGACAACCUAGCCUUGACCCCGUGCAGCCGCUGUCCCAUCGCUGCCGGUGGGCCGCAGAUGCUUCCUCCCCUGCCGCGUCGCCGUCGCGUCGGCGUCGCCGGUCGCCGCCCUCGUACUUGUCCCCUCGCUGGCCUCUGCCGUAGCCCUGCUGCGCCACCACUGAGGCACUGACCACCGCCGUCGGAGUCCGGCGCCGAGGCGAUUCGUUUUACCGCUGCCCUGCGCCGCCUGCCGUUACCAGGCGCAGUAAAAAGAAGAAGAAGAAGAAAAUCUGGAAACGCACCAGUCAGAGUCAAAAGAACUCGCAGCACUAGCGCUUUUGUAGACAACUAGCCGUAGGUGCAUGAACGGAGAAGGUUCGCAAGUGGGAGCGGUGGGAAAGGCGUGGUGGUGCGCUGGGGCUUUUUCCGCGGCAUCGUCACGGGACUUUGCUGAAGGCAGGCGGGUGUUUGCCGGCCGCUCAGCCGCUGUCCUCCGCGCGAGUCAAUGCCUUUCCAGUUGAUACUGGUUGGUAAAAACUUGAAUUGCGCCUCUCCUCUUUGACCUGUCGUCCCAUCCAAGUGCUCGUAACACUAACUAGCCUCCUGUGGUCUCAAAAGGGAGGUCUCUCAAGGACUCAAGGUGAAAAUCCAUUUGUAUAAACAAACUUCCAGGAUUCACAGCUUCAUACGGCACUCCAACCUCGAUCAAACAGUACCGAAUUUAUCCAGGUGGAACCAUCAGGUGAAUUAAUUCACGGUACAUUUUACUGCACCGUAGUGGCAAUCACAGGGUUAGAUCGACGAGGACUGCCCAAGGAUUAUAGUUUUGAGAUCAAGAUCUACUAAGGAUUUUUAAGAGGUACGAUCUCUCGCCCCCGCGUCGCUCGAGCCGAGCGACUCGGGCGGCCUUCGCGCCUCCCUGCCGCCAGGCCACCUUGCUCCUCCCCCCUCCGUCGCUGGAGCCGUGAGCCAAAAGCCCGACGAGCGGCGAGUAGGGCGGCGGCGGGGUCAGCUCGGUCCCCUCCAUCUUCUCCCCCAACCCUAGAUCUGCCCCGCCGUCACUGUCGACUCUGUCGCCAGCCGUGUGGGCGUGCCCCCCGAUCGUGCGGUCGCCUGGGCGCCUGCCUCCCCGACCUCCUCGGUCGCCUGGUCGCGCGGGCCUACCCGGCACCGCCACCGCCAUGCGGUGGCGCGGGAAGGACGCGGGUGGGGUCGUUCGCUGCCGGCGGUGUGUGGUGGUCAGGCGCUGUACGCCUCUCCGUUCUCCCUCUCCCACUGCACCCCACCGGUCGCUUGGUCACCCUUGCCACCGUCAUUGCCGCCGGUCGCCACCAAUGUACGUCACUGCCGGGUCCGGCGUCGCUGGAUCCACCCCUGCCAGCGGGGAUCCACCCCCAACGGCGUGAAUAUGCCCCCUCCCCCUCCCCCGAGGUGACUCUCCCUGUCACUGGCGUUCGCCGGUGGCCCUUGGGGCUGCUACUGGCGCCAAUGAGGGGCCGUGGAGGUCGUCUCGCUGGGUUGCCGAGAUGUUGGGGCGACUCAAGAGACGUCGUUGCCACUGCUGGUCGUCAUCAUCGAGCAUUGAGCCUCUGGAGCCAUUAUCGUCGCCGCCGCCGCUGCUUGCUGCGCUGCCCGUGUAGGCGCUGGGUGCCCUUGAGCCCCUUGUUCCACCCUCUAUCCUUGGUUGCGUAGGUGCCCAUUGCUGGGCCCCUAGUCGUCGGGCCGUCGUCCCCCUGUGAUCGCUCUGGUGGUGGGAGUUCUAGGGCCCGUGCUACCGCUCGUAUCUACUGGCGUCCCUCUCCGGGUGAUGCUACACUAGCUUGGUCAUAGCUAUUUUGGUUGUCGGGCGGCAGUGGCGUGCUCCUUCACUGCUCGCUGGCGCGUCUUUGGAUCGAUAUUGGAUCAUCACGGUCGCCUCUUGGUCACCCAUGGUCGUUUGGGCCUUCCCUCUUCUCAAAGGUGCCUGCAGAUAUUCCUUAUCGUCGUUGCCUUGGAUCACUCGCUGCCAUCUCAUCUCUUUGCCUCUCACACGGGCCUCGGCGAUCUGCUGCGUGGAGAUGGUUUUGGAGGCCUUUGGCGAAAGCUUUGCCUGACAUUUGCCGGUGCCGACAACGGUUGUGUCCUUUAACGUAGCUUAACACAUUGGAGGUGUUGUUGCGGCCACCAAAUCCAUUUGGUUUCGUCAGGUGAAGACUUGGAAUACUCCUCCAUGGACAGUCGGACGAUGGCGGAGUUGGCGUCGCUUCCUCCUUGGAGGCAGCGUCUUGCACGAUCUUCUCGCUCUGCCUCCGCUAGCUCCAGGUUAUUAGUCAAUCGAUGAUGUGCGUGUAUUUUUAGUACCCUUCUCUCCUGCAGGUAUCGGUCGUCUCAGGUCGUGUUUAGUAUGGUGGUGCUGUGGAUUUCUUUUCUUUUCUAUUGUAUUUGUGUUGCCUGUCGUGGGUGGUGGUUCGUAUAACUCUAUACUCUCCUGAAGUAGUAUUGUUGUAAUUAUCUUCGUAUUAAUGAAAAACGUGCAUAUGAAAAGAUCGACGAGGACUGUGUAGUAGUAACUCCAGUUCAGAGCCGGUCAGUCACGCUCUGUCCGCUCACUCCCGUCUCCGGAUGGAGGAUCCUAUUCCUAGCGUGUCCGAUGCCGAAGCUGGUAACGGUCGUAUUGAUGGCCUUCCCAGUACAGUACACCCCUUCCCGAAUUAAGUUGGAUCUUAAUUUCUGUAUUAGUGCGCUAGCGAGGACGGCCCCGUACCAUGCUCCGUAACAACAGCAUAAAUACGGAGUAGAGUACGUGGUAUAGGCGUAAUAGCUAGAGUGCUAGACAACGUUCGAGCUGUGACGGUGACACUGUUCACGCUGAAUCCAUGUCCAGGUUUCCUCCCUGACUGAUAUGAAAAUCGAUUUGCUGCUGCAUAUGAGUAUAUAAAAACUCCUGCUACGUUCCACGACCAGCACAGAAUCUUGACGCAUAGAAUCAUCAGGCAAAAAUACUGAGCAAAUCUUGACGCAUCCACGACCAGCACAGAAAAAGGAGACGCGUCACCCUGUGGAGAGAGAAAACACACACACACACAGAACGGUGAUGCUAUGCUUGGAAUUCUCUGUGCACGAUGGAAAGAUGAUCCCGGGAAAGCGGGCAUCCUGUUCCAGCUUCAGCGGUCACGAGAGCACGCAGGCGAGCAGAACGGGCGCCUCCUCGGCCGGUUGCCGGCCGGUUCGACGCACCUGGACGGCACCCACCUCCGGUCCGGUCCAUGGCGCGCGAAAAAGGGCGGGCGCACGCCAAUUGCGUGCGGCCCAAAAGAAGGAAAGAAAGGAGGGGGGACGAGAAUGAUGCUGCUGGCCACGACCGGGGGAUAAACAAAAACAUUUUCUUGGCGCGUCCGGUUGGGAGGCACGGCCGGCGUGUGGUCGCGUCGGCUCCAGCGGCCGCUCGUCCAGUCGGACGGGUCAAUGUUCGCCUACGCGGCUUUGAUCGUGCCGGUCAACCUUUUUUGUUUUUGUUUUCUUCCUUCUCGCAGUUGCGAAUGAAAUUCCAUGGAACGCACGGAGAUCUAACCCGCCGAUCAUGCGGGCAGCGUGAUUUUGGUUUCGCCGGAAUCCGCGAGCGCUUGCUUUCGUCGCCGCCGGGUCUCGCACGCUCGGCCGUGGACGGAGCAGAAGGGGAGGCGCGUGCCCGAGCGUUAAGAAAUCAGCAGAGCCGGGACCGAGCCGCGCCCGGACGCCGUGCCGUGCGUCCGCGUCGCGUCCUGCACCGGGUCCGGGGGGUGCCGUGGGCGGACGGCUUCGUGCGGCCACAUCACGGGGCACCCAGCGGGGGCAGCGGCCCGGGGGUGACGCGCGCUCGCGCCCUCCCUGUGGCAAGGUGCGCGGGAGAGAUCUCGCCGAAUCCCGGGCGGGGCCCCGGCGGGUUCCGCCCGUUCCAGCAAUCCAGCGUGCGGUCGCCACUCGCCACCGGACCGGGAGGGCCUCUCCCUCGCUUUCGCGGGGCUAAUCAUUGCCGCGGCGAGGGCCGGGACGGGAAAUGCAGACGAGACGAGCCCCCGGGGUCAAAACGCUGCGGUCUCGCACCGCGUGGGUGCGUGUCGCUGCCGCCUGCCCUGCCCGCUUGCCUUCCUUUGGUGAGUGCGGCUCGCGUACGAGCCGUGGACCUGUGGUGGCUGCGAGCCCAGACGUUGCCCAUCGCUGGAUCCACGUCCACUCGCUCCGGUCCUCGGUUCGUGGUCACGGUGCGUGGUCGGUCCGGGAGGGUUUCUUCAGACAACGAAGACAGGGGGGCCUCGUCUCAUCUCAUGCACUAGAACUUGAACUUCUAGCACCGGUGUCCUACCGGCGCUGCUAUUUCGGGUUACUUCCACUAACAGUCUCGAGGUCAAACGUGCAACAUCAUGGUCAUGGCCUCUUUCACCAAAUUUGGCUCCUGCACAUCAGCAAUUCCUGAGUGGCGGGCCCCACCCCAGCUACGUUUCUCCAAGCAGCUACAACUUCCAGAAGCUGUGGUAAUUAAAGUUGCAGGCAGGAAUUACCAAAUUGGACUGAGAGCCUCUCUUUGGCCGGAAAGAACGCGAUUUCGCAACCAAAAAUCCAACUAUCCCCACAUCCAACCUUGACCAUAACGCUGUGCUAGCUCCUGUAUUAUUCGGACCACUCCUGCUGUCCAUAGAUUAGCUCACUCCCCGUGUCGGUUAGAUAGAUAGCUAGCCUACCUGCCCGGUUUCUGUCAGCUCCCAGUAGCUGGGGUGCUAGCUCCCAAUCCCAGCCGGCCACCCCACGUCCCGGUCGCGCUUGCUGCGGACUGUAUCUGCCGUGAUCCCUCACUCUCUCGGGUCUCGUCGAUCGACGCGUUCCUCUCAUGCAGCAGCAGCCCGUGCGUCACGCUCGCAGCCAUGGAUCUGUAAUGUUGACUCGCUCGGAUUCGUUCCCAUUCUCGGGGUGGACCACGAGCAGAUGCGCGAGCUUUCGGUGAUGGUUACGGGUAGUCCGCGGCGGAGGCAUCCAGCGGCCAGCGCCGGGUUCGAUCGUCUCCUAGCUAGCUGCGCGCCUGCGCCCCACCCUGAUCUCGCGCGCUCGCCCGACCGCUGCUGCUCACGGACCGUGACCUCACUGCCCCUCUCUCGUCGUCCCAUCGGACAUAGAAUGGAUUUGAGGAAAAGAAUCCGAUGCCCCGCCGGCCGGGCGAUCCUACGUGGUAAGGGACGGGACGGGAGUACUUAAAAGCUAAGCGACGUGCCACAUGAGAUGCUCGUUGCUCGUCCGGUCCAUGGGCAGAAGCUGAUGUAGUAAUUGCGCAGCGAUCGAACGUGUCCGUCGUCUCAGGCUCGACUCCUUGAAGAAACCUCUCCGAUCCGGACAUUGAUGGCCGCACGCCGGUACACGUGAGGGCUGCCUGCACGACCGGCGUUAAGGACGCAGCGAUCCAGUGCCGAGGAAGACGGGUUUUCUUGUCAUUGGGAUGCCGUGUUUUCGCGUUGAAAAAUUGACUGGGUCUUGUGAGAAUCCCAUGGCUUGUGAGAUACUGGGGGCUUGCGGAAUAGGACUCGGCACCAUCAGUUGACAAGACAACAGUAGGCGGCCACCGAGAAAGAAAGCAUCGUUUCACAACUUGGGACCAGGAAAAGGUUUUACGUUACUGGCUGCAUAAUAGGCACCGAUCACCUGAACACAGGCGUUCCACGAUCAAACCGCCCGACUAUACCAGCAGCGUGGAUCGCAUUUGUAGGCCUUAAUCCAAACAGUCUAUUACAUGAAGUUCACUAGCAAAAGAGUGUUGCUGCCAGGAAUUUCUGUCUGCACUUCGCUCAAAUGACAGGGUUACGCUGCUAAUCGUUCAGCGGAAGACGACGUCGUAGCUAACAUAGCUUACGCUGCAAGUGAAAAUCGAUGCAAAUAAAAGGGGCAAGUGAAAAAGCACGACAAAGAAAGGGUAACAUCCUGCUACUCAAGAACAACUAUAUCAAGAAGACAGGUUAGGGCCGGGACACUGACGUAACCGGAAAUGAGUUUGCAUGAAAAAGUACAACCAGCUUGUUCUAUCAGGGGAGUCAAACAAGUACAAACCCAUGGCUGCAACACCGAAACAGAGCAAAUUCUUCCAGUUCACAUUACACAAGGUCUGGUACUACGUCCCAUCUUACAAGAGCAUCAACAGCGAUGAAAACAGCACAUCUCCAUCCUAUCAUAGCAGCACCCUGCUGUUGUUACGGUCUUACCGAGCUCUUUUUCUUUUUGUAACUGAACCCUUACUGCAAUGACAAAUCAGUACAAAUAAAUCUCAACGGAUAACGAAUUCCUAGAGAGAGCCCCAGGAAUCAGAGGAAGCUCCCCGACGGCUAAGAACAGGAACCAAUAGCCCCCGAAAAAACUGAAUGCUGAGCUUGUUAGUUGACUGGUAUGAUCUGAUGAGAGCUAGCUGACAUGCAAUGGUCUAUCUAUUGUUUUUUAGGAUGGCUGCAAAUGUAGAGUCAUACAAGGGCAAAGACCCAUAGCGCUGCAGCGAAAUCACGCCGACUUGAACAUUUCAGGAGCAGUCCAAAUUUUGGCUCAUGUCUUGGCUAUAAAUUUCAUCUGCCCUUUUUCUUCUUCAUCAUCUCCCGCUGUAUCGCCUUUUGCCUUGCCUUGUCUGCAAGGUCCAGCCCCGGAACCUGGUCCUCAGCAGAGUCAACUUUUGACCCUCUCACGUCACUUGCGGAGGCAUUCUUGCGACGAUUCUUUCUUGAUCCAACUUUUGGAGAGCCCACUUUUCUAGAGAUGGUAGCAUCCUUGUUUCCGCAUGCAUUAGGUUUUUCCAUCUCCAUCCCCUCAGGUUCGUUAAGUUGCUUACUAGUGGCCACUGGACUAUUUGUAUUUUCAGGGCUAUGAUUAUCUGGACAGAUGCCUUUCAUCGAAGAAGCUGCCCUUGUGAAAUGACGCCUACUUUCAAACCAUUUGCUAACCUGUCACCAGAAUGCAGAGUGAGGGUUAGACCCAAUGAACAAGAUAACCAUGACAAGGCAUGCAAUUAGAAAAUCAUGGCAACAUGGACAUAACCUGACGGAAUGUUAGCCCUAGUUCUUCUGCCAGGUUUUCUUUAACAGAACGGCUAGGGUAUGGUUCUGUCUUAAAAUGUUCAUGUAGCUUCUGCAAGCAGAAUGAUGUGCAUCAACUUAGUCGAUGAAGUAAAGCAGUCUAAAAUGGCUAUUUCUGUUCAACUGAAUCGAGAACAAAUUUCACUGUACCUGAUUAAUUACUGGACCAAAAUGUCCUUUCUUAGAUGUACUAUUGCUGCCAUUAGAAGUAAGAUCUUCAUGUUUCUCAUCAACCGAACCAUGAAGAGAAUCAGGAUGCAAGCUUUUUUGAGCGCUCUGUGGAGUCAGUUCAUCACUAUGGUGUACAAUCCUUGUACUUCUAGAGCUUUUUCCUGCAGGAGAAUCAGCUUCACUCUCUUCAUGGCCUUUUCUUGGUGUACUCUUCCCAGACCAUUCUUCAUCAUCGCUAGAAUUAGAUGGUGCUUCACCAUAAGCCUCCUUUUGAGUCCAAGAAUAGGAACAUGUCAUGGUCAGAAAGCAUAGGUCAUAUGCAAGUGUGCACCCAAGAGAGCAUAUACUAGCAAACAAUUAAUAAUCCCAUGCUACAUUACCAUAGUACAUACUGUUGAGUUCCUCAAAGGUUACUGUCUCUAGUUGCACAAAUCAGCAUCAAGAUUGAAUGCAGCGGCACAUAAGUGUAAACUACAAGCACUAUGGAAAUACCUAAAUUCAAGACACAGCAGAUCUUUUACCAUUUCACCAAUUACUAGAUUAUGCACAUAUGUCUAAGCUAAGGGCAGUACAUAGGUCUAAGCUAAGAUCACUUCUAUUCCCUCCGUUCCAAAUUAUAGGUCGUUUCGGGUUUUCUGGAUACAUAGUUUUUAUUAUGUAUCUAGUUCUAGACAUAGCGUAUAUAUAGGUGCAUAGCAAAAGCUAUAUACCUAGAAAAGUCAAAAACAAUUAUAACUUGGGACAGAGGGAAUAAUAAUGAUGUUUGCCUCCAUGACUAAUUUUAUAAUCAAACUUUCGAAUUUGGCUAGUUCCUGCUUGAAACUAAAGCAUUCGUCUGGAUGAAAGCAAACACACAAUUGGCAUUAUUCAAGGCUAAAAACAUAUUUAAAAAAAUCAUGCACUUAAGUAGGUUGGGGGCAUACAUCAUACAGUUUUUUGUAGUCCAACCGUUCAGUCUGCCGUCUCCCUGAAACUGGUAAAACCACACUCUGGUCCAUUUCAGUCUCCAUAUGGUCAUCAUUGGAAUUUGCUGUGUUAGCCUGAGAAGUGCUUUUUUCCAUAUCAUCCACCUUACCAUCGGGUAAUGGAGGAGAUGAAACUUCAUCAUGUCCACCAGUUUUUGCAAUCUCCUCACAGAAAUCAUCAGAGUCAGAUGUAAAAUCUGACUCAUCUGAAUUUGAUUCCUUUUUCUGGAUAUCUUUAUCAGAAUCCGGACCUGCUGGAUCAUAGUCAUCAUCCUCUGAGUCUUCAGAAGGUAAUCCCAGGUCAUCGACCUUCUUUUUGGCCGUCAAAGGUUCCGAAUCAUCAGAAUCAGAAGAGGUCAAAAAGUUUGAGUCGUCAGAGUCUGAUCCUCCAUCCUCAUCCUCUUCCUCUUCAGAUGAUCCUUCUUCCUUACUAGCCACAUGCUCUUCGGGCAUAUUGGGUUCAAAGUCAUUGUCAUCUGAAUCAUCUGAUGGAAGAUCAAAUGCGUCAUCUUGGUUAGAGCCAUUUGCCAUAGUAGCUGCCUCUGGAAAAACUUUCUGCAAAAAUAAAUGUAGUACUGAGAUCAAGGGUAAUUCAAACUCACUGGAGGUCAAGGCAGUAAAUUGUUACUAUUCUUAUAAGGGAUACGUUACCUCCCAAGAGUCGUCAAUGGAGAGAUCACUCCCCUGGAGGUCAUUUAUUACAUCUAUACAGUCUAUCUUGCAAUCACACGCAGGGCAGAGCCAUCCUUCAUCUCCCUCAGGAACUACAAAGGAAUGGUGCUCAUGAAUGAAUGCAGAAACAAGACUUACUUAGAUACUAUGAAAGAUAGGAAAAUGGAUAUUACUAUCUUCAGUACGCAGAGGAGGAUUUAAACAGUUCUGGUGGAACCCUCUGUCACAAGCUCCAUCACAGAGAAUGAUAUCAUUACCCAAUGUAACAUCCUUUGAACCACAAUUGGCACAAAAAAUCUGCGAUAUAGGAAACAUUUUCACUGAUUAAAAUGCUGUGCAUGACAUAAUUACAAGAGAAUAUAGACACAUUGAUGGAAUCAAAAUAACAUUCUGCGUACAUCUUCACAAGAUAUCUCUCCUUCAGAAUCAAAUAAAGACUCAUCAAUCUUCCCCUUCGAGAGGAGAGAAUCAAGAUUCUGGAAGACUUCCCGUAUUCUCAACUUGCAUCGCAGGAUUUCCGCCUUUGCUCGUUCAAGCUCCUUCUCAGGUCUUAUCUUAUCCAAACUGCAUUCUUGUACAUGAGCGACAGUUAUUUUAUAUUGUAACUGAAACUGCAAUGAACUCAAGCUAAAGAAAAAUCAUAGCAGUAGAAAUAUCCCAAGAUGGUUUCUGUUAUAUGCAAAGUUCAACGGAGAAUGAAUAACAACUACUAUACAUCUGAUCAACAACUAAGCCAAAUAGGCCACAUAAAUUUAAGGGCCUGUUUGUUUGAGCUUCCUGACAGCUUCUCAGCAUGAAAAGCCAGAAGCUCAGACAAACAGGGAACCAAGCACACAUCAUGGUUGGCAGUGAGAAGAGGCAGAAAUGAUAACUAUAUAUAAAGGGAACACAAACAGUGAAGGCAGAUAUCAUAAGGGUGAAAGCAUAAAGUUUCACUGAUGUGUUUCAUGUGCAAAUGCGAUAAAAAAACCCCAUCCUUUAUUAAGACAAAGAAGCACAUGGAAAGGAAAAUCAGGUGCAAAAUGAUGGGCAGCUAAGGAAUGUUAUGCACCUGACAAGCGUAUUUUGCAAAUUAAAAUGUCAAGAUAGUGAAACCUAUUUGUCAAUUCUGUUGCAUGUAACAUUAUUGUGGUUGGUUAACAAGUAAAUUUUAAGAUUUUGGCUAGCAAAUAUUACACAGCCAAAACAAUAUUCAAUACCGCUGGUGAAAAAUUGAUAAUUCGUACAAACACCUUUGAAACAUUAAAAACAAUGCAUAACAUGCAAGCAACUCAAAUUCAAAACAGCAAUUUAGUGUGACAAACCUUUGAUUUUUCCAGCCUUCACUAGCAUAAGCUUCAAUCAGGCUUUGCUCAUAGUUCAUUCGAUUCAAAAUGUAUCUAACCCGUUUACGAAUUUGAGAAAACUCGUCUGUUGAACUUUUGUUUGAGGAUAAACUUUUGUUUGAGGGUCUGCCCCUUUUUCUUCUUUUGGCAGCCGGUUGUACUGGAGUCUGUACAUGUUCAGUAGAUGUUGUCUUUGAACUUGAUGUGCCGUGAAGCACCCUGACAUUAUUAUCAGAUGACCUCAAAGUAUAGGCUUUAUCUGUUAGUCCUUGGGAGCCUUUUUUACCUCUGUUUGCUGCCCUUUUAUAGUUUUUCCUUAUCCCCAUGUUGUUCUGCACUGUUUUAGAUGGAGACAGCAAAACUUGAUGCUCAACAGUCUCAGGUAUUUGACUGGAGCUCACACCAUUUUCAACCUCACCAUUGCCCUCAAUAGGACAAGGGGUAUUUUUGUCCAUAGUAUGGUCACCAAAAUUUCAUCAAUUUACAGUAGACAAAGAAAGCAGCCUCAGAAAACCGUCUUCCUGAGGACAACAAUGAAACAAGAAGCUCUAUAUAGCUGCACCAGAUUCACAAGCACCUGGCAACCUACAGGAAAUAAAUUAAGAUAAAGAAUGAAUACAUGAACUCAAGAGUCAAGUAUCCUAUUAAAGCACAAAGUCUUACAAACCCCUGGUUUGAACAAGGUUUGAUUUGUUCCCAAUGAUUCGAAAUUAGACUCAGUUGAUGACCUUUUUAGUUGAAGAUAAACAAGCACAGACAUCACUAUUAAGUGAUUAGCCGCUACAAACAACCCACAGAGAAUGCACUCAGCUGUCGUCAAAGUGAUACAUGUCCCUCCCAUUACCAAUCAUGCAUCGAGCCUUUAACAGAGACACACAUUUCUUCCCAUCAAAACUGAAAGCGGCACCAUUUUUCCUUUUGCUACGUACACGCUUUGAUUCCUCUUGCCACCCAAUUAUGCUGUACUGUAUAUAGAAACAUUUUACUAGAUAUUUAAAGCAUUCGACUAGUACAAGAUUAUAAACUCCCCUCAUUCUUUUUUGUUUGUUAUUUUAGACUUAUCAUGGGCAUUAAGAAAAGGCAACAAACCACCACUAAAGCUAUACUCUUUUAAUUAGUCUCUCAAGUACGCAUAGUGGCCAGUGGACAAAGGAAACAUGCAUUAAAAAAAGGAACUACGUCUUCAAAACUACAGGAAACACUAAAAGAAAUGUUUCCUGGAAUCCUAUAACAACAAAACAAAAAAGAACACUCUUCACAAACUUAAAUGACAAACAAAAAAGAUUUCAGCUGGUGGUUUCUUAUUAGAAACAAGAACAACUUAGGAUAUAAUAAAUAGGAAUUCCAUAAAAAAGUUGGGUUUCAAACAAAGAUCUUAAUUAAAAAAAUUUACUAGAACUUACUUAUAGAGGAAAAAAAUCAAGCAAGCGACAAUUAACAAACUGCGUGUUUUAUUCAGAUAUUUCCAAAAGAAUAAUGCAUUGACAACUUCUAUAUUGUAAAAUCUAAAUGGGGAAUGGAAAUAAAAGGCAAGAAGAAAAACAAGGUGAGAUCAAGAUAAUGCCACAUCUCGCUCGACGACAACACAGGAAAAGAUGUCUUGAAGCCUCAGUGACCUAGGCCAAGCAACAGGCAGCUCACAGCCAGUCUCCUGCUUCCACGUGUCGCGGGCCAUGCACGUCUUCCAAGCUCUCGCUCUAACCGUGCCAUGCAAUGCUGGGUGCCCGCAAUUUUUAUUGCCAUAGGGUGACUUUGGCAUAGCAUUUUCAGGGUGCAUCUAAUAUGAAAUGAAAAAAAAAACAGAGCUACUGUAUGUCCAUCCUGCACAGCAUUUUGAUCUCCUAUGAAAUACUGAGUUAUCUUCAACAUGGCAAGUUUAGUAACAAUUUGGACAUGUCAUUAUAUCAGUAUUCCACAGUGGUGCUUGAUUUAUUUCCUACAGCCAUGGUAGGCACUUGUUCCAAAUGGCAGGCAAUUUCACAACCAAGCAACUGGUUCCAAAUCUACCUGCAUUGUUUAGCUCCUAUACAUUCCCAGGAUGCGGAACCAGUAGCCAUCUACUUCCACAGCGUGCAGAGCCAUCCACGAUAACCCCUGAAUCCACACAAUUCAAGCUGGAACCUCAUACCCUCCCCCCC